RNAcentral lists this ribosomal RNA (397 nucleotides) under uncultured bacterium. Its description in RNAcentral is "partial 16S ribosomal RNA". It matches the Rfam family "Bacterial small subunit ribosomal RNA", at positions 523 to 918 of the family's 1533-position model. The record is from RNAcentral.
AUACGUAGGUGGCAAGCGUUGUCCGGAAUUAUUGGGCGUAAAGCGCGCGCAGGUGGUUCCUUAAGUCUGAUGUGAAAGCCCCCGGCUCAACCGGGGAGGGUCAUUGGAAACUGGGGAACUUGAGUGCAGAAGAGGAUAGUGGAAUUCCAAGUGUAGCGGUGAAAUGCGUAGAGAUUUGGAGGAACACCAGUGGCGAAGGCGACUGUCUGGUCUGUAACUGACACUGAGGCGCGAAAGCGGGGGGAGCAAACAGGAUUAGAUACCCUGGUAGUCCACGCCGUAAACGAUGAGUGCUAAGUGUUGGGGGGUUUCCGCCCCUCAGUGCUGCAGCUAACGCAUUAAGCACUCCGCCUGGGGAGUACGGCCGCAAGACUGAAACUCAAAUGAAUUGACGGGG